CUUCUCUUCUUAUGAUGGUUUCCGCUACUGCUGCUAUUGCUAUGGUGGUAGGAAUGUGAUGGUUGUGGUGAUGAUGGCAGUGAUGGUGGUGGUGGUGGUGAUAAUGGUGAUGGUGGCAAUGAUGGUAAUGAAGAUGAUGGUGAUGGUGAUGAUGAUGGUAAUGACAUGGUGGUGUGAUCAUGAUGAUGGUGAGGAUGGUGGUGGUGAUGAUGGUAACAGUGAUGAUGAUGGUGAUGGUGGUGAUGAUGGUGAUGGAGGUGAUGAUGGUGAUGGUGAUGGUGAUGAUGGUGAUGGUGGUGAUAUGAUGGUGAUGGUGAUGAUAUCAUGAUGAUGGUGAGGAUGGUGGUGGUGAUGGUGAUAGUGAUGAUGAUGGUGAUUAUGUGAUAGUGAUGGUGAUGGUGAUGAUGAUGGUGAUGAUGUGAUGGUGAUGGUGGUGAUGAUGACAGUGAUGGUGGUGAUGAUGGUGAGGAUGAUGAUGGUGAUGGUGAUGAUGGUAAUAACAUGAUGGUAGUGGUGAUCAUGAUGAUGGUGAGGAUGGUGGUGGUGAUGAUGGUAGUGAUGAGGAUGAUGGUGGUGGUGUUGAUGGUGCUGAUGACAGUGAUGGUGACAAUAGUAAUGAUG
RNAcentral lists this long non-coding RNA (621 nucleotides) under Pan troglodytes (chimpanzee). Its description in RNAcentral is "lncRNA (ENSPTRG00000054369.1)". The record is from RNAcentral. Lineage: Eukaryota; Metazoa; Chordata; Mammalia; Primates; Hominidae.